GAAGUCGCCCAGACAGUCGCUGCGUACCUAGUACGGAGAGGAAAGUCCGGGCUCCACAGAGCAGGAUGCCGGCUAACGGCCGGGCACCGUGAGGUGACGGAAAGUCCCGCUGGCAGCAGCGGGCAGUGGUGAUGGGUGUCUGAUUCAGGUUUGUCCCGUCGCAUCAUCGCUGGCAACAGAAAGCAAACCGCCGAUGGCGUCAGACGCCAGGUAAGGGUGAAAGGGUGAGGUAAGAGCUCACCGCGUCCGGGGCCAACGCCGGGCGGCACGGUAAACCCCAUCCGGAGCAAGACCAAAUAGGGAAGCAUUGGCGUGGCUCGCGUCGCUUCCGGGUAGGUUGCU
This 342-nucleotide RNase P RNA is filed under the name Rhodocyclaceae bacterium. RNAcentral's name for it is "partial RNase P RNA component class A". It matches the Rfam family "Bacterial RNase P class A", at positions 1 to 280 of the family's 367-position model. From Rfam's summary of the family: Ribonuclease P (RNase P) is a ubiquitous endoribonuclease, found in archaea, bacteria and eukarya as well as chloroplasts and mitochondria. Its best characterised activity is the generation of mature 5'-ends of tRNAs by cleaving the 5'-leader elements of precursor-tRNAs. The record is from RNAcentral. Lineage: Bacteria; Pseudomonadati; Pseudomonadota; Betaproteobacteria; Rhodocyclales; Rhodocyclaceae.